GUAGACACAUUCCAGCCAAUCAGCAGCAGACCCUCCCUCCCAGACUCUCCCACCUCCUGGACAGCUCACUAAGAAUGCAGCUUCACAAUGAAUGUAAAAUGGAUGCUGUCCAGGAGGUGGGAGGGUCUGGGAGGGAGGGUCUGCUGCUGAUUGGCUGGAAUGUGUCUG
Pelobates cultripes (western spadefoot toad) is the source of this 168-nucleotide non-coding RNA. NCBI's taxonomy places the organism in Eukaryota, Metazoa, Chordata, Amphibia, Anura, Pelobatidae. The record is from the annotation of a GenBank genome assembly.